GAUGAACGCUGGCGGCGUGCCUAAUACAUGCAAGUCGAGCGAACGGAUAAGGAGCUUGCUCCUUUGAAGUUAGCGGCGGACGGGUGAGUAACACGUGGGUAACCUACCUAUAAGACUGGAAUAACUUCGGGAAACCGGAGCUAAUGCCGGAUAACAUUUGGAACUGCAUGGUUCUAAAGUAAAAGAUGGUUUUGCUAUCACUUAUAGAUGGACCCGGGCCGUAUUAGCUAGUUGGUAAGGUAACGGCUUACCAAGGCAACGAUACGUAGCCGACCUGAGAGGGUGAUCGGCCACACUGGAACUGAGACACGGUCCAGACUCCUACGGGAGGCAGCAGUAGGGAAUCUUCCGCAAUGGACGAAAGUCCGACGGAGCAACGCCGCGUGAGUGAUGAAGGUUUUCGGAUCGUAAAACUCUGUUAUUAGGGAAGAACAAAUGUGUAAGUAACUGUGCACAUCUUGACGGUACCUAAUCAGAAAGCCACGGCUAACUACGUGCCAGCCGCCGCGGUAA
This 513-nucleotide ribosomal RNA is filed under the name uncultured bacterium. RNAcentral's name for it is "partial 16S ribosomal RNA". It matches the Rfam family "Bacterial small subunit ribosomal RNA", at positions 28 to 523 of the family's 1533-position model. The record is from RNAcentral.